Eucalyptus grandis is the source of this 121-nucleotide non-coding RNA. The record is from Rfam. Lineage: Eukaryota; Viridiplantae; Streptophyta; Magnoliopsida; Myrtales; Myrtaceae.
AGGCAACCUCUUUGAUUGGUUCAUUGGAAGAGAGGUGUUAAACUGCUCGAACAUUGAUGUCUUCUGCUCUUCAGACUUGCUGAGAUGACUCCAAGGCUGGGCUAGUAAGCUUAAGUGCAUU